CCUACGGGAGGCAGCAGUAAGGAAUAUUGGUCAAUGGACGCAAGUCUGAACCAGCCAUGCCGCGUGCAGGAUGAAGGCCCUCUGGGUUGUAAACUGCUUUUAUCUGGGACGAAAAAGGGGCUUUCUAGCUCAACUGACGGUACCAGAGGAAUAAGCACCGGCUAACUCCGUGCCAGCAGCCGCGGUAAUACGGAGGGUGCAAGCGUUAUCCGGAUUUACUGGGUUUAAAGGGUGCGUAGGUGGGUAAGUAAGUCAGUGGUGAAAUCUUCAAGCUUAACUUGGAAACUGCCAUUGAUACUAUUUAUCUUGAAUACUCUGGAGGUAAGCGGAAUAUGUCAUGUAGCGGUGAAAUGCUUAGAUAUGACAUAGAACACCAAUUGCGAAGGCAGCUUACUACAUAGUUAUUGACACUGAGGCACGAAAGCGUGGGGAUCAAACAGGAUUAGAUACCCUGGUAGUCCACGCCCUAAACCGAUGGAUACUCGACAUCAGCGAUACACUGUUGGUGUCUGAGCGAAAGCAUUAAGUAUCCCACCUGGGAAGUACGACCGCAAGGUUGAAACUCAAAGGAAUUGACGG
RNAcentral lists this ribosomal RNA (579 nucleotides) under uncultured bacterium. RNAcentral describes it as "bacterial SSU rRNA". It matches the Rfam family "Bacterial small subunit ribosomal RNA", at positions 338 to 916 of the family's 1533-position model. The record is from RNAcentral.